UUUUUUACUCCACUACCUAAGUACAUACAGAAUAGGAGCCCGUUUAGGGGCUGUAUGUUGGAGAUUGUCAACCGAAGGAUCAAAAAGAUGGCAUCCAAUUGAUUUGUUGAGAUCCAGCUGAGAACGUAACACCUGAUAUUUUUAGUUGGUUUAAUAAUUACUCCCUCUCCCAAAAUAAAUGCACUUUUUGCUAUGUACUAUCUAGAUAAGCACUUGUCCAGAUAUAGUCAGAAAUGCAUUUUGUUUGGGACAGUAAUCGCUAAAAAGGACUGAACAAGUUACCACAUUAGCGAUCUGCAUCGCUGUGUAUUUACAGUUUUAUAACUGGCUGUUGAGGACUGGAGGGUACAUGCUAGCGCCUGAAUAAUAGGCAUUCAGGUAUAUGGUUGCCUC
RNAcentral lists this long non-coding RNA (393 nucleotides) under Zea mays. RNAcentral's name for it is "long non-coding RNA (ZMAY_LNC001148)". Lineage: Eukaryota; Viridiplantae; Streptophyta; Magnoliopsida; Poales; Poaceae. The record is from RNAcentral.